CAGCCGCCGCGGGAAUAUGUAGGGGGCAAGCGUUAUCCGGAGUUACUGGGUGUAAAGGGAGCGUAGACGGUUAAACAAGUCUGAAGUGAAAUGCCGGGGCUCAACCCCGGAGCUGCUUUGGGAACUGUAGAACUGGAGUGUCGGAGGGGUAAGCGGAAUUCCCAGUGUAGCGGUGAAAUGCGUAGAUAUUGGGAGGAACACCGGCGGCGAAGGCGGCUUACUGGACGACAACUGACGUUGAGGCUCGAAGGCGUGGGUAGCAAACAGGAUUAGAUACCCGAGUAGUCCCUGUCUCUUAUAC
RNAcentral lists this ribosomal RNA (301 nucleotides) under uncultured bacterium. Its description in RNAcentral is "partial 16S ribosomal RNA". It matches the Rfam family "Bacterial small subunit ribosomal RNA", at positions 509 to 807 of the family's 1533-position model. The record is from RNAcentral.